Molecule: ribosomal RNA, 266 nt
Filed under: uncultured bacterium
Lineage: Bacteria
Description: partial 16S ribosomal RNA
Rfam family: Bacterial small subunit ribosomal RNA
Source: RNAcentral
GUCCACGCUGUAAACGUUGCGAACUAGGUGUCGGGGUAUUCACCCCUCCGGUGCCGAAGCUAACGUCUUAAGUUCGCCGCCUGGGAAGUACGGCCGCAAGGCUAAAACUCAAAAGGAAUUGACGGGGGCCCGCACAAGCGGUGGAGCAUGUGGUUCAAUUCGAUGCAACGCGAAGAACCUUACCUGGGCUUGACAUCCCGAGAAUCCCUCAGAAAUGAGGGAGUGCCCGUAAGGGAACUCGGAGACAGGUGCUGCAUGGCUGUCGU